UACGGGGGGGGCAAGCGUUGUUCGGAAUUACUGGGCGUAAAGGGCGCGUAGGCGGCCUUCUAAGUCGGACGUGAAAUCCCUCGGCUUAACCGAGGAGCUGCGUCCGAUACUGAAAGGCUUGAAUCCGGGAGAGGGAUGUGGAAUUCCAGGUGUAGCGGUGAAAUGCGUAGAUAUCUGGAGGAACACCGGUGGCGAAGGCGGCAUCCUGGACCGGCAUUGACGCUGAGGCGCGAAAGCUAGGGGAGCAAACGGG
RNAcentral lists this ribosomal RNA (253 nucleotides) under uncultured bacterium. RNAcentral's name for it is "partial 16S ribosomal RNA". It matches the Rfam family "Bacterial small subunit ribosomal RNA", at positions 524 to 776 of the family's 1533-position model. The record is from RNAcentral.